AUGCAUAAACUGUGAUAGAUUCAGUGAGAGUAAGAUAGU
RNAcentral lists this non-coding RNA (39 nucleotides) under Trypanosoma brucei brucei. The record is from RNAcentral. Lineage: Eukaryota; Euglenozoa; Kinetoplastea; Trypanosomatida; Trypanosomatidae.